Molecule: transfer RNA, 72 nt
Filed under: Schistocerca americana (American grasshopper)
Lineage: Eukaryota; Metazoa; Arthropoda; Insecta; Orthoptera; Acrididae
Description: tRNA-Pro
Rfam family: tRNA
About the family: Transfer RNA (tRNA) molecules are approximately 80 nucleotides in length. Their secondary structure includes four short double-helical elements and three loops (D, anti-codon, and T loops). Further hydrogen bonds mediate the characteristic L-shaped molecular structure. tRNAs have two regions of fundamental functional importance: the anti-codon, which is responsible for specific mRNA codon recognition, and the 3' end, to which the tRNAs corresponding amino acid is attached (by aminoacyl-tRNA synthetases). tRNAs cope with the degeneracy of the genetic code in two manners: having more than one tRNA (with a specific anti-codon) for a particular amino acid; and 'wobble' base-pairing, i.e. permitting non-standard base-pairing at the 3rd anti-codon position.
Source: RNAcentral
GGCUCGUUGGUCUAGGGGUAUGAUUCCUGCUUCGGGCGCGGGAGGUCCCGGGUUCAAAUCCCGGACGAGCCC